CCGCUUUCAACCCUAUUGUUGUCGUUGACCAGAAACACUUCGACCAGAAAGCUGCGAUGGAGAACAUCGUCGUCUAGAUCUACUUUCAAAUCCGCUUCUAGAUAACAAUGUCAUUGUUAUCGCCGUCAGCUGUAGGGUUGCGCCAGAGAAUCGGUACCCGGCUGCAUUUGAAGAAGGGCUCAAAUUCUUGAACUGGUUGGGGUAGCAGGCGAAUCUGAUUUAGUGUGGUUAGCCUCCUGGGAACACACGCGAAGCUGGUGCUGAUAUCAGGACUCAGGAGAUCCGAUGCUCAACAGCGUAUCCUGAUACAUUUGGAGCGUCAAUUGUGGGACCUUCGUUGGCUGCUAAUGGGGACCCUUCCAGGUUCCGUUCUAAUCCAGUGGUUCCCCUUUCCUUCUCUGCAUUCAUUACACGUUUUGUCUACAUAGGGAUGUCCAUUCUCUGCUUUGCAUUUCUGAGGAAAAAACGAAUUUUCAAUCUUGAUUUGAACUAUAAUUCUUGACUGAAUGCUUAUUUCGGAAAAUUUUAUCAUAUCUGUCAUUCUGGACUGUGUUUCACAGAAGUGCGAUGUGUACAAAUUACAAUUUCGGGGUGGUUUUGUUCGACUAAAUAUCAGGGAUGAGGUGACGGGGAAAUCACUUGGUGGGAUCUGCUGUGUCUAUUGUGCUGUGGACGGAGCUGUGUCCCCAAUCAAAUCCACUCGCAUGACCUUAACCUUCUCCCACAUCUCCGUCCAUUGCACAGUGGACAGAUCAGAUCCCAGCAACAAAAGAUGCAUGGGUCACUGUCAUUACUAGUCUAAGCCUCACAAGAUUCAAAUUGUAUGACCUUUCCUAUGCCGAUGGCAGGCAAAGGAACAACUACAAUCAGUACCAAAAAAGACGUUGCUGAAAGUGUUGCGCUCAUCUUCGGGGUUACCGGGCUCGUUGGCAAGGAGAUUGCCAACAACUUAUUAGCCAAAUCUGGGUGGAAGGUAUAUGGCAUUGCUCGCAAGCCUGAUUUCUUCACCCCCAUUCAACAUCGUAACUACAGGUUCAUUUCGUGUGACCUCCUAGACCCUGUACAAACUGUGCAGAAGCUCUCUUCCCUGAAUGGGGCGACCCACAUCUUUUGGGUCACUUGGGCCAGCCAGUUCCCUCUGGACUCGUCGGAGUGUUGCGAUCAGAACAAGGCCAUGAUGUCUAAUGCCUUGGAUGCUAUUCUCCCCAAAGCUAAGGCACUGAAGCAUGUCUCUCUUCAGACUGGGACCAAGCAUUAUGUAUCUCUUAGCGGACCUUUUGACAACACAGUGCGACGCUACGACGAGGAGAGUCCCAGAGUCAAUGAAGGCCAUAAUUUCUAUUACAUGCUAGAGGACUUGCUCAUUGAGAAACUAAGGGGUAAAGUGUCAUGGUCAGUGCACCGCCCAGGGUUAAUAUUGGGAAGUUCUCACAGGACUGCUUUUAACUUCAUCGGUAGCCUCUGCAUCUAUGGGACGAUAUGCAAACAUCUCCACCUCCCCUUCGUAUUUGGAGGUGCAAGAGAGUGUUGGGAGGAGGUCUACAUAGAUGGUUCAGAUGCCAGGCUUGUUGCUGAGCAACAUAUAUGGGUAUCAACGAAUGAUAAUGUAUCUUCAACAGAUGGCCAAGCCUUCAACGCAGUAAAUGGUCCAAGCUUCACAUGGAAACAGAUCUGGCCUGCCCUUGCUGUUAAGUUUGGAUUGCAGGCAGCAGAAGACAUGUUCUCGCAAGAUUUUCUAUUUUCAACUUCCAUGGCAGACAAGGAAAGUGUGUGGGAAGACAUUGUGGUGAAGGAGGGCUUACGACCAACCAAGAUAGGAGACCUGGCUAAUUGGACAUUCUUAGAUGUCCUGUUCCGGUUCCCAACAAAGCUACUGGCAGCUCGAGACAAGGUUGAUCGGCUUGGUUUCACGAUGACUUAUGAGAUGUUGGAUUCCAUAUUGUAUUGGGUGGAUUGCAUAAGGGAUGAGAAGCUCAUUCCUUAGAAGUUUGACCUCAAAUGUGUCACUUGGUAGGGGGACAGUGUGGUGCACCACAAUCCAGGCUAUCUCGCUGAUGUCUUUCCAAGGAUUGGCCAAAGAGAAUAUGCUCAGGGAUAAGCUGUUGUCCCAUCCAUUGCUGUUCUUAUCAUAUUUGCUUCGAAUGAUAGAGACCCAAGUCUAUCAUGUUCUAUUGGGAAGCACCAAAGCCAUUUACCCAGUAGGGAAAUAUUCCUUUCAAGCCGAUGACCUAAUCACAGGCCGCCUUCCUUCCAUCAACAUGCAGAGCACUUUCCACCUAACUAAAUGAUCCCUUCUAUAACUACCUCCCACCAAAAGAUAAUCACGUUUGCAGCUUCCUUAUAUGAUUCCUCACCGUGGCUGCAGCUUUAAAUAGAGAAAGUAAGUCAGCAGGUUGGAAAGGGUUUGCCUUUACGAGGGUGUCUUCCACCUUUUGAGAAAUAAUUCAUCUUCCACGGAUACAAUCUCCUCUCACACCUGUACAGUGCAAGAUCCAGGAAACUAACAGUCUUUGGGAUUUCCAUUCAAAGAUUUUAUUUUAUUUUCUGAUGGUUCUAUCCACAUCCUCUGCUCAGUUGUUCCUUUUGCGGGAUUCUCCAGCAUCACUUGCACCAUUUGCUGCUGUGUUGAUCAUCCUAGAGGAUAUUUCAGACCCCUUUGGGGGGGGUUCUUUCUAUUAAAUGCCCACUGAAGUUGAAUCCUUUGUUCUGUCAGCAUCUAACUCUAGAGCUGUUGGACCUGGCUGGGUUUCCAAGCUGGGCCAAGAAUGAUUACCCCUAGAUGAGCCCACUCUUGUACUUUUUUGGAGGGUAAGGGGGCAUGAAAGUAAGACUUUCCUCAUUGCUUCCCAUUAUAUCGGCCAAUAAUUUUAUCACACUUUACCUGAGUCAUCUGCUGUUCAUUUUUUCAUUCUCCAUGUAGAUUUGUGGUGGAAAAAUUGAUAUUGUCCGUACACCACUGCCUGGACUGAACUUUUUUAUAAAUUUAUUGUAUUACAGUUUACAGAGAACAUGAUUCUUGAUA
Non-coding RNA from Nelumbo nucifera (sacred lotus), 3022 nucleotides. The record is from RefSeq and is a predicted model, not a curated record. NCBI's taxonomy places the organism in Eukaryota, Viridiplantae, Streptophyta, Magnoliopsida, Proteales, Nelumbonaceae.